GGUUCUAUAGUGUAGCGGUUAGCACUUCGGAUUCUGAAAUAAAAAAAAAGAAACAUUUCCGGCAACCCCGGUUCGAUUCCGGGUAGGACCU
Molecule: non-coding RNA, 91 nt
Organism: Cladorrhinum samala
Lineage: Eukaryota; Fungi; Ascomycota; Sordariomycetes; Sordariales; Podosporaceae
Source: the annotation of a GenBank genome assembly